GAUGAACGCUGGCGGCGUGCCUAAUACAUGCAAGUCGAGCGAACAGACGAGGAGCUUGCUCCUCUGACGUUAGCGGCGGACGGGUGAGUAACACGUGGAUAACCUACCUAUAAGACUGGGAUAACUUCGGGAAACCGGAGCUAAUACCGGAUAAUAUAUUGAACCGCAUGGUUCAAUAGUGAAAGACGGUUUUGCUGUCACUUAUAGAUGGAUCCGCGCCGCAUUAGCUAGUUGGUAAGGUAACGGCUUACCAAGGCAACGAUGCGUAGCCGACCUGAGAGGGUGAUCGGCCACACUGGAACUGGAACACGGUCCAGACUCCUACGGGAGGCCGCAGUAGGGAAUCUUACGCAAUGGGCGAAAGCUUGACGGAGCAACGCCGCGUGAGUGAUGAAGGUCUUCGGAUCGUAAAACUCUGUUAUGAGGGAAGAACAAAUGUGUAAGUAACUAUGCACGUCUUGACGGUACCUAAUCAGAAAGCCACGGCUAACUACGUG
This 497-nucleotide ribosomal RNA is filed under the name uncultured bacterium. RNAcentral describes it as "partial 16S ribosomal RNA". It matches the Rfam family "Bacterial small subunit ribosomal RNA", at positions 28 to 507 of the family's 1533-position model. The record is from RNAcentral.